GUAGGUGGCAAGCGUUGUCCGGAAUUAUUGGGCGUAAAGCGCGCGCAGGCGGUUCUUUAAGUCUGGUGUGAAAGCCCACGGCUCAACCGUGGAGGGUCAUUGGAAACUGGAGAACUUGAGUACAGAAGAGGAAAGCGGAAUUCCACGUGUAGCGGUGAAAUGCGUAGAGAUGUGGAGGAACACCAGUGGCGAAGGCGGCUUUCUGGUCUGUAACUGACGCUGAGGCGCGAAAGCGUGGGGAGCAAACAGGAUUAGAUACCCUGGUAGUCCACGCCGUAAACGAUGAGUGCUAAGUGUUAGGGGGUUUCCCGCCCCCCUUAGUGCUGCAGCUAACGCAUUAAGCACUCCGCCUGGGGAGUACGGCCGCAAGGCUG
RNAcentral lists this ribosomal RNA (374 nucleotides) under uncultured organism. RNAcentral's name for it is "partial 16S ribosomal RNA". It matches the Rfam family "Bacterial small subunit ribosomal RNA", at positions 527 to 896 of the family's 1533-position model. The record is from RNAcentral.